AAACCAUCAGCAUUAAAAAUACCAGGCUAGGGAAGCUGCGGUCGCGAGAAGGCUCAGGAAUCGAGUCAGAUGGGGGCUAGCCUGCAGAAACGCAAACGUCGCAGUUAGAGGCUCCUUUUAAAUAGAGAUCCGGUGUGAGAUAUCACUUAAUCGCCUAGAAUUCCCGCGACCGGGGAGUUUGCCGCCCUCCUUCGCAGAACAUGGCCCUAAUUCAUCUCUCCAAAAGGAGAGACUGAGGGAGUUAACUGUCAGGCUGCCGCACGUAAAAGCCUCUCUUCCGUCCCUCCCCCCUACCCAAUUCACUGAUUUAAGCCAACCACAAAAUUACAUCAGAAAAGUAUAUUUUGGAAGAAGGGCGGGGUCGGAGUAGAUAAUCCGCAUUCAGAUUAAAUCUACCGAGAGAAUGAGGGGCGUGUAUUUGUUGAGGUCACCAACUACCGAGAAUCACGUUCAGUUCUCAGGGAAAGCACCGGAGAGGGGGAAGGGUGGGCGCGGGUCCUAGGGUGAACCCCGCGCCGGCGGGGGGUGCGGGCGCUCGCGCGUGGAGGUGGGAGACUCCCGGAUGAUCCCACGCGCGGCCCCGGCGCGCCGGGCAGGAGCGCGCGGGGCUGCGAUUCACUCGCUGCGGGCGUCCCUAAUGGGCACUCGUGCAUUCUUGCUCGUGCGGUGAGCGCACGCACGCUGUAGCUGGGUUUCAGGCCCCCACAUAAAGGUGGGGGGGGUGCGCCGAGCGAAGGAGCUGCAGGCAGAUUUUCUUUCUCUCUCAGGAGCUGGGAAAAGGGCCAGCCCCGUGCCCUGCACGCCUGGCUCUGCUCGGCAGCAUGCGGGUGAGCUGAGAGCCGGUUGAGCAGCGGCGGCGCACAGUUCGGGCCGUGUCACCAUUUCUUCGCCUGCUGACCUGCCCUGGAGCGGGAGAAGGCGGCAGCACCUCAGAGGCUCUGCAACAUUGCUCUUUGGUGUGGUUGGCACCUCGAACAUCAUCUUGCUCGAGUAGAUUCUCAAGAACUACUCACCGAAUGAGAGCAUCUUCGUGAAGUGUGGAUUAUCAGACAAAUGCAUGAUGGAAUCAAUGCAAAGAGAAACAAGAAACGAAAAGCAAGAACAAGGCUCAGAGAAGCCAAGAGACACUCCACGGCCCUGUAGCUGAGCAGCAUGGAACAAUUGCUUCUACUUUAAUUUCCGGUGCUUACGAAGGCUGAGCUGAAGGCUGCACCACCAGAAGCUUGGUGAGGUGGAAAAGCCGCCACGGGAGUCUGGAUUGGAAUUACCUGACGCAUCCCGAAUUGCUCUGGCUACGGUGGGAGAAGACCAUCGUGGGCGAGAGCGGAAGCAGAGAUCCCAGUGAGGAGGCUGCCGGAUGCACGUGGAGGGGAAGAAGGUGUUGACCUGGACCAGGGAGCAGCGGAGGUGAUGGUGCAGGACUCCAUGCCGGGUGUAUUUUAAAGGAACCAGUGGAGAAUUUCAGCUCCUGUGAAUAUCGGACUUAGCCUAGUAGCUGUGCGGUAAGUAUUGAACAAUGUGUUGGCCCCAGACCCUUGGGAGCUCCCUUAAGAAUGCCUGAGGAGGACUGGGAGAUACUGGUGUGUCCGUCUUUGGGUCAAUGACUGGCUUGAUGGACUAAACUUGUAUAGAUCUCUCCAGGGGGAGGAAGCAAAACUGAUAAGCACAGAAGUACAUCAAGUAGACUGUAAGAACAUUUUAGAUGCCAAGGCUGGUAAGAAGGUCAUAGGAGAAGGCAGACCAGGGGAGCAAGAGGCAAAAAACCAAAGCCAUUCAUUAUUUUUAAAUAAACUUUAAAUUUUCAGUUUUAGAUUUACAGAAAAAUUGUAAGGGCAAUACAGAGAGUUUUCAUAUAUUUCAUGCUCAGUUGACCCUAUUAUUAAUCUAUUAGCAUGGUGCAUCUGUCCCAAUUAAUGAACAAGCAUCGAUACAUUGUUAUUAACUAAUAUCAAUGCAGAUUUCUUUGGUUUUUACCUAGUAUC
Long non-coding RNA from Panthera uncia (snow leopard), 1982 nucleotides. RefSeq lists it as uncharacterized. NCBI's taxonomy places the organism in Eukaryota, Metazoa, Chordata, Mammalia, Carnivora, Felidae. The transcript is spliced from 6 exons. The record is from RefSeq and is a predicted model, not a curated record.